AAGACACUAGUAAAACUUUAUUACACUGCUUUGUCAAGGCAGAAUUGCGAGUUAAAGCCUCGCGUGCCUUA
RNAcentral lists this transfer RNA (71 nucleotides) under Capros aper (boarfish). RNAcentral describes it as "tRNA-Asp". It matches the Rfam family "tRNA". From Rfam's summary of the family: Transfer RNA (tRNA) molecules are approximately 80 nucleotides in length. Their secondary structure includes four short double-helical elements and three loops (D, anti-codon, and T loops). The record is from RNAcentral. Lineage: Eukaryota; Metazoa; Chordata; Actinopteri; Caproiformes; Caproidae.